AGUGAACUUUGUUUGAAGUGGAAAUCCUUUUUCCUUUUUUCUUUAAAAAGAAAAAGAUUGCAAAGGAAAGCGGGACAAUUA
This 81-nucleotide small RNA is filed under the name Flavobacterium sinopsychrotolerans. Its description in RNAcentral is "Flavo-1 RNA". It matches the Rfam family "Flavo-1 RNA". The record is from RNAcentral. Lineage: Bacteria; Pseudomonadati; Bacteroidota; Flavobacteriia; Flavobacteriales; Flavobacteriaceae.